CAGCAGGGAGUUGUAAUCUUGGAGUUCUCACAGAAGAUGUGCACACGUCCUUCUACUCCAUCAUAUUCCUCUGAAGUAUACAGUAGGCGCUCAAUAAGUGGAAAUCUCUGUGACCCAGGGAUCGAACCCGAGUCUUCUGCAUUGACAGGUGGAUUCUUUACCACUGAACCACAUGGGAAGCCCUCAUUUUUUCCUCAAUUCAGAUGCCCUGUGGUGGCCAAGUCGGUGUCCGCAUCCUGGUGAUUCAUCCAUACCAGCUACCUGCUCCCUAUCCAUGCCAUCCAUGGGGCCUGGGAGGUCCUAUGGUACCAGGGCCCUUGUCUUCUAAGGCGCCCUCCAUGAGGUUCAGAGAUCUACCCAGGCAUCCACAAGCCCUCAGUCACUGAGCUUAGAGGAAGGCAGGGAAAAGCUUGGCAGUGUCAGCCAACAAAAAAGAGGCUGUGUGAGGUGAGCCCAAAGGAGAGGUGAGUGAGCUGAGGUUAGCAAGAUGGGCAGGGCCAGUUCUGUGGGGCUUUGGAGGCUAUGAUGAAUUUGGGUUUUGCUGGUCCAUUAGUUUAGGGAAGGGAGAGAA
Molecule: long non-coding RNA, 571 nt
Organism: Dama dama (fallow deer)
Lineage: Eukaryota; Metazoa; Chordata; Mammalia; Artiodactyla; Cervidae
Exons: 3
Source: RefSeq, a predicted model, not a curated record